GCUGCAAUGGAGGCCAUUAAUUAAAAAAGAGAGAAAUAAUUGAGGUGCCAUUUUGCAUCGCUUUUAUUUUUUUCUAUUUUUAGAAUUCUAAAAAUAAAAAUUCUGUUUCUACUGUAUCUAAUUUUUAAAAACAUAAACUUGUUUGGUAUGAUUAAUUAUUUUUAAAACAAAAAUAUUAAUGGUGAUGGAAAUAGUAGUGACUGGAGUAGAGGUAGUGAGGCGAUGAUUGUACUGAUGGAAGGUAUGGUAUAGCACAAGUGAUGAAGAUGGCAUCGGCUAUAUGGUAGAGACAGUGAUGGUUGUGGGCCUCGUGGCAGCAAUAAUAGCGACAUUGGUGAUGCUAGCUGUGGCAGGAACAAUAGUAGUAUAAGGGUACCAACGAUGUGGUAGAGGUAAUGGUUAUGGUAGCGGGGUGGUGGAGACAGUGAUGGUAGUAAUACUGAUGGUAAUAGUAGCAGUAGUCAAGAUGCCAGCAAUGUGGCAGAGUUGGCAAUGAUAGCAGUAAUAUGUUUUUUUUAAUGCAAGGGAUGCAGAGAUAGCUACCUGAUUUUUAUAGAUAUUAGAAAAAAAAUUACAACCCAAACUCUCCCAAAUUCUAACAAAGAUCCUGAUCACAUAAUGUAGACCUGUCAUUGAAGGUGUGAAGUCCUUUUGAGGCUAUAGCCACAACAAUUGAAUGUUUAACAAGCAAAAUCCUAAAAUUCCAUUCUUUCCAACAUGCCCAUACAAUAGCUACGAGAAGCAUAAGAACAACUAAUUGAACUUUUUUCUAAAGUUCCUCUAAAUCCAGUCGGGACAAUGGUAAUUAAAAGAGGAUUGAGAAUGUAGCACCCUAAGAGCCAAGCAUAUAUUCAUC
This 856-nucleotide long non-coding RNA is filed under the name Phoenix dactylifera (date palm). RNAcentral describes it as "long non-coding RNA (PDAC_LNC002066)". The record is from RNAcentral. Lineage: Eukaryota; Viridiplantae; Streptophyta; Magnoliopsida; Arecales; Arecaceae.